GAGAAUGGGGUUCAUUAUUUUGGCAAACAAGAUGUCGGGGUUCAAAUGCGGUGAUCCGGGAUCACUUGCGCGAAAGGAAGUUUCGGGAAAAAAAAAAAAAAGAGGAAAAUUUAUCAGUCAGAAAAUUUCGGGGUUCAAGAAAAGCAAAAAAAAAAGAGAAGUAAUAAUAAUCCCCAGCGGAUGUGGUGUUCAGGCCAUGGUUAUCCCUGCGUUACCAUUUAUUUUGG
Molecule: long non-coding RNA, 227 nt
Filed under: Lathyrus oleraceus (garden pea)
Lineage: Eukaryota; Viridiplantae; Streptophyta; Magnoliopsida; Fabales; Fabaceae
Description: Pisum sativum (pea) long non-coding RNA (PSAT_LNC016273)
Source: RNAcentral